UACGUAGGGGGCAAGCGUUGUCCGGAUUUAUUGGGCGUAAAGCGCGUGUAGGCGGCCUUGUAAGUCCGUUCUGAAAGCCCGGGGCUCAACCCCGGGAGGCGGAUGGAUACUGCAAGGCUCGAGUCCGGAAGAGGCAAGUGGAAUUCCCGGUGUAGCGGUGAAAUGCGCAGAUAUCGGGAGGAACACCAAUGGCGAAGGCAGCUUGCUGGGACGGUACUGACGCUGAGACGCGAAAGCGUGGGGAGCAAACGGG
This 253-nucleotide ribosomal RNA is filed under the name uncultured bacterium. RNAcentral describes it as "partial 16S ribosomal RNA". It matches the Rfam family "Bacterial small subunit ribosomal RNA", at positions 524 to 776 of the family's 1533-position model. The record is from RNAcentral.